UCGAGGAUCUUCGGCAAUGGGCGCAAGCCUGACCGAGCGACGCCGCGUGUGCGAUGAAGGCCUUCGGGUUGUAAAGCACUGUCGAGGGGGAGGAAGCUCCGUAAGGAGUUGACCUAUCCCUGGAGGAAGCACGGGCUAAGUUCGUGCCAGCAGCCGCGGUAAGACGAACCGUGCAAACGUUAUUCGGAAUCACUGGGCUUAAAGGGCGCGUAGGCGGGUCGGAUAGUCUGCGGUGAAAUCCCUCAGCUUAACUGGGAAACUGCCGUGGAUACUGCCAAUCUCGAGGAGGGUAGGGGCAUCUGGAACAGCCGGUGGAGCGGUGAAAUGCGUUGAUAUCGGCUGGAACUCCGGUGGUGAAGGCGAGAUGCUGGACCCUUUCUGACGCUGAGGCGCGAAAGCCAGGGGAGCGAACGGGAUUAGAUACCCCGGUAGUCCCUGAGCGGGCUGGCAAGGCGCAU
Molecule: ribosomal RNA, 458 nt
Filed under: uncultured bacterium
Lineage: Bacteria
Description: bacterial SSU rRNA
Rfam family: Bacterial small subunit ribosomal RNA
Source: RNAcentral